CCGGAGGACUCCUCAGGCUGCGGGGAACAUGGCGUUCUGGGGUUGGCGCGCCGCGGCAGCCGUCCGGGUGUGGGGCCGGGUAGCUGAACGGGCCGAGGCCGGGGUAGGCGUGGGGCCGUUCCAGGCCUGGGGCUGUCGGCUGGUGCUUGGCCGCAGGGACGAUGUCAGUGCGGGGCCGAGAGGCAGCCGCGGGGUCCGCGGUGAGCCCUUGGACCCGGCGCGCCCCUUGCAGAGGCCUCCCAGACCCGCGGUGCCCAGGGCAUUCCGGAGGCAGCCGAGGGCAGCAGCUCCCGGUUUCUUCUUUUCGAGUAUUAAAGGUGGAAGAAGGCCUAUAUCUUUUUCUGUGGGUGCUUCAAGUGUUGUUGGAAGUGGAGGCGACAGUGACAAGGGGAAGCUUUCCCUGCAGGAUGUAGCUGAGCUGAUUCGGGCCAGAGCUUGCCAGAGGGUGGUGGCCAUGGUGGGAGCCGGCAUCAGCACACCCAGUGGCAUUCCAGACUUCAGAUCUCCAGGGAGUGGCCUGUACAGCAACCUCCAGCAGUACGAUCUCCCGUACCCCGAGGCCAUUUUCGAACUCCCAUUCUUCUUUCACAACCCCAAGCCCUUUUUCACUUUGGCCAAGGAGCUGUACCCUGGAAACUAUAAGCCCAACAUCACUCACUACUUUCUCCGGCUGCUUCAUGACAAGGGGCUGCUUCUGCGGCUCUACACGCAGAACAUCGAUGGGCUUGAGAGAGUGUCGGGCAUCCCUGCCUCAAAGCUGGUUGAAGCUCAUGGAACCUUUGCCUCUGCCACCUGCACAGUCUGCCGAAGACCCUUCCCAGGGGAGGACUUUCGGGCUGAUGUGAUGGCAGACAGGGUUCCCCACUGCCCGGUCUGCACCGGCGUUGUGAAGCCCGACGUUGUGUUCUUUGGGGAGCCGCUGCCCCAGAGGUUCUUGCUGCACGUGGUUGACUUCCCCAUGGCAGAUCUGCUACUCAUCCUCGGGACCUCCCUGGAGGUGGAGCCUUUUGCCAGCUUGACCGAGGCCGUGCGGAGCUCCGUUCCCCGACUGCUCAUCAACCGGGACUUGGUGGGACCCUUGGCAUGGCGUCCUCGCAGCAGGGACGUGGCCCAGCUGGGGGACGUGGUUCACAGCGUGGAAAGGCUAGUGGAGCUUCUGGGCUGGACAGAAGAGAUGCGGGACCUUGUCCAGCGGGAAACUGGGAAGGUACAGACUGCUGAGGAGGACCAUCCAAGGGGCUGCCCUCCUCACUGCGCUAGGGUGUGGUCCACCUCGUAUGGAACCCCACUGGCUAACACAGUAACAGUCAUAACUGAUGAUGCUAUGAAUCCUGCACCAGGCGCUACCUGGACCUGAUUGGGUAUUACUUUCAAUACCUCCAUUUAGAGAUGAAGAAACAGAUGCUAACAGGCCAAGCAGGGACACGGUCCAGACACUCAGGGCUGAUGAGUCUACACUCUUAACAGACUUUAAGCGUUAUCUUCACUCCCUAAAGUAAAGCAGCCAACAGUGUUCCUCUAAGGCCUGGUAUGUGAUUCUGAGAUGAUACGGGUUAAAGAACUUUGAGAAGCUAAAGUUCUCUGCAUUUGUGUGGGAUGAAGGCUACAUUAGUGAUGCUUUUCGGAAGUAAUUGGUAUGAGAGCCAUUGAUCGAUUAUAAUCCGCGGAGGAAAGCCAAAGAGGCUUGAUGCUUUCUUUCUAAGAGAUUCCAAACCGCCUGUAAACAAGUGAAGUUACAGAAAUGCAGUUUCCCGUGAGAAUCAUGUAGCGUGUGUAGCCUUGAUAUUAAGGGUUUUCAGUGGGAGGUAGCGUUAAGCAUUUAAAGUCCAGCGUUAUGAUUACAGGCAGAUGUGACACUGUCCAAAGGGGAUUUCCCCAGUGUGUUAGUAUGUUCUCAUGCUGCUAAUAAAGGCAUACCUGAGACUGGGUCAUUUAUAAAGGAAAGAGGUUUAAUGGACUCACAGUUCCAUAUGGCUGUGGUGGCCUCACAAUCACAGUGGAAGAUAAGGAGGAGCAAAGUCCCCUCUUCCACAGCGGCGGGCAAGAGGAUGUGUGCAGGGGAACUGCCCUUUCGAAAACUGGCAGAUCUUGUGAGACUUACUCACUACCACAAGAACAGCAUGGAAAAGCCCCACCCCCAUGAUUCAGUUACUUCCACUUGGCCCCAUCCUGGACCCGUGGGGAUUAUUACAAUUCAAGCUUAAUGGACCAGACAAAUAGGAUGAUGGCUGCCCCCACACAAUAAAUGGUGACAUAGGAGACAUCCACAUCCCAAUUCUGACGAGACCUCAUGGCUAAUUUUGGUCAAACCAGAAUAUGUGAACUGAGUGGACACCGGAGGCUGCCACUGGAAUGCCUUCUCAGGCCGUGAGCUGCGCUGACUGGUAGGGCUGUGUUUACAUUCAGGGCCGCCCUGUCACAUAUACAAAGGAGCUGCGUGCCUGCCUGUUUGCUGUGUUGAACUCUUCACUCUGCUGAAGCUCCUAGUGGAAAAAGCUUUCUUCUGUGACCCUCUUGAACUGAACAGACCGACUGGAAUCCCAGACCGGAGUUUACUUUCUGUGCCCAGGUGAAGGGCAAGCUCAGCAUCUGUUGGUCAGAAGAUCCAGACUUGGGCCAAGCAGCCCCCAGCCCUCUUCAUGUCCCAAAGUGUGGUCCUGAGGCCCUAGUGCUGCACUUCUAGCAUGUCGGUCUCCUUUAGUAGGGCUAUUUUUAAUGAGAGAAAAUCUGUUCUUUAUUUCCAGCAUGAAAUACAUUCAGUCUCCUCAAAGGCACUGCAAGUGUUGACAUGAGUUGGAAAAAGGGAACCCUGGAGUACAUGGUGUCCCUCUGUGGGAACAGUUUGAGGACUGAAGGCAUGUGUCCUGGGUUUAUUGGAGAUGGCCCAGCUCCUCCCUCUGAAGGUGGUCACAUUCUGUUGACUCUCCAUACUCAGCCUCUCCUCCAGAAACAGAUCUGUUCCAGAACAUUCCAGCACUUUCUAUCUGGUCUCCUGUCCCCACACUAGCCCCCCUCCCCCAGGGCCUCCUCCAGUGACAGAGCUAAUCUCUGAGACAGGGAAGGCAUUACUCACUUCAAACCCAGGCUGAGUCCUGGUCACCUGCUGGAUUGUGACAUACGAGGUGGAAUCCACUGUGCUCCCACUUCUGCACAGGCUCCUCCUCCUGGGGCAGCACCAAGGCCCAGCUCUGAUGGCUCGCCCUGUCAGGCACCAGCUGCUUCCUCCUGGGCUCUUACCCACAUGCACAUCCUCCUUCCUAGCAUCAGAUUACCUGCGUGUUUCCCCAGACAAAAGCACUUCCCAUUCCUUAACCUUGCCCACCCUGGGCUGAGCUGAUGGGAAUAGAUUUAAUGACAGUGACUCCCAGGAAGGGGGUCCUGUGACCUUGCUCUGGUAAGAACAAAAGGUGGAACUGGUGACCUAGGAAAAGUGUUGAAUUUUAAAAAGAAUGAAAUUAGUUUCUAACUCUAGUUAAUGUUCCUUUUUUAUUUUAUUUUUUUGAGAGUCUUGCUCUGUCGCUCAGGAUGGAGUGCAGUGUUGCGAUCUCAGCUCACUGCAACUUCCGCCUCCCGGGUUUAAGCGAUUCUCCUGCCUCAGCCUCCUGGGUAGCUGGGACUACAGAUGUGUCCCACCACGCCUAGUACAGGGGCAUAUUUGUAAUAGAGACGGGUUUCGCUAUGCUGGCCAGGCUGGUCUCGAACUCCUGGCUUCAAGUGAUCCACCCGCCUCGGCCUCCCAAAGUGCUGGCAUUCCAAGCAUGAGCCACUGUGCCUGGCCCCUUUAUUUGAUAAUUUACACAUAAAUUCAUACACAUACUUUUGCCCAAAACUCUUUAUUUCAAGAUGAUGUUUCUGUGGCUAUGUGUGGUAUGUGGUAUAAAUCUCAAUCUAUGGUC
This is an RNA transcript of Piliocolobus tephrosceles (Ugandan red Colobus), 3896 nucleotides long. It is a transcript of the gene named sirtuin 3, with no coding region annotated. NCBI's taxonomy places the organism in Eukaryota, Metazoa, Chordata, Mammalia, Primates, Cercopithecidae. The record is from RefSeq and is a predicted model, not a curated record. The transcript has 7 exons.